Molecule: ribosomal RNA, 465 nt
Filed under: uncultured bacterium
Lineage: Bacteria
Description: partial 16S ribosomal RNA
Rfam family: Bacterial small subunit ribosomal RNA
Source: RNAcentral
GACGAACGCUGGCGGCGUGCUUAACACAUGCAAGUCGAACGGAAAGGCCCCUUUGGGGGUACUCGAGUGGCGCACGGGUGAGUAACACGUGAGUAACCUGCCCUUGACUUCGGGAUAACUUCAGGAAACUGGGGCUAAUACCGGAUAGGAAUCCUUGCUGCAUGGUGGGGGUUGGAAAGCUUCGGCGGUUUUGGAUGGACUCGCGGCUUAUCAGCUUGUUGGUGGGGUAGUGGCUUACCAAGGCUUUGACGGGUAGCCGGCCUGAGAGGGCGACCGGCCACAUUGGGACUGAGAUACGGCCCAGACGCCUACGGGAGGCAGCAGUGGGGAAGAUUGCACAAGGGGCGGGAGCCUGAUGCAGCAACGCCGCGUGCGGGAGGACGGCCUUCGGGUUGUAAACCGCUUUCAGCAGGGGCGAAGCUUGUGGUGACGGUACCUGCAGAAGAAGCACCGGCUAACUACGUG